Molecule: non-coding RNA, 148 nt
Filed under: Homo sapiens (human)
Lineage: Eukaryota; Metazoa; Chordata; Mammalia; Primates; Hominidae
Source: Rfam by way of RNAcentral
GCCAGGUGUGGUGGUGCGUGCCUGUAGUCCCAGCUACUUGGGAGGCUGAGGCAGGAGAAUCGCUUGAGCUCAGGAGGUCGAGGCUGCAGUGAGCUGAGGUGGUACCACCGCACUCCAGCCUCAGCGACAGAGUGAGACCCUGUCUCAA